AUGACAAAGAGUAGUGCAGAGUGAGUAGUUUUUGUUAAAAUUAUUAGUAAUUAAUGUUAAAAAUGUAUGGUAGUUGAUUAAUGAACUAAUAAAUAUUCUUGCUAGUAUUAUAAACAUGGCAAUAAGUUUGUUUGUAACAUUUUGGCAUCUUACCAAUUUAACCAAUCAUUAUAACAUUUGGUUUACAAGUAUAUGUCGUGAUGGAGUAGGCCACAAUGAAUACUUCAUUGUUAGAAAAGCAGAGAACGAGUACGGCUUGUGGCUCGAAGUAGGCUCGCAACGAGCUACGCGGUUACGCACCGUUUGCGUGGGAAUCACCUAAUCAGAGAUUUGUCGUCAAACCUGUGACUACCGCAAUCUCAAUCGGACGUCAAGAAGUGAUUCUAAUUCAGCUUGCGAGAUUUGGCCUAAACAAACUAUCAUACAUUCUAAGUUGUAAAAAUACCUUUUCACAAGAUUCUAUAAAUAAAGAAGAGUAUACCAUAAGAAAUACCAGACUCACAUUUGGACUGCUGAUUUGAUCUGGGUGUCAUAGCACACUGAGAAAGCUAGAGUAAAAAGAGAUUCUCCCGAAGCUUCUAUCUGCGUUCUCCUCAUGAGCAGGAGAAGAGCCGUCUUCGUCUCGUUCAGUGUUUUUAAUA
Long non-coding RNA from Galleria mellonella (greater wax moth), 641 nucleotides. RefSeq lists it as uncharacterized. NCBI's taxonomy places the organism in Eukaryota, Metazoa, Arthropoda, Insecta, Lepidoptera, Pyralidae. The record is from RefSeq and is a predicted model, not a curated record. The transcript is spliced from 3 exons.